UGACCUCAUAUUUUCCAAUUCUAAGUCUAUCCCUAUGAAUUCCAAUGAAUUCCGAGAUAGAUUUAGAAUUAGAAAAGCUAAGGUCC
This 86-nucleotide microRNA precursor is filed under the name Medicago truncatula (barrel medic). Its description in RNAcentral is "miR5558 stem-loop (mtr-MIR5558)". Lineage: Eukaryota; Viridiplantae; Streptophyta; Magnoliopsida; Fabales; Fabaceae. The record is from miRBase by way of RNAcentral.